GUUUUGAAGAUGGAGCUCUCUGAAGUCCAAAAGAGGAUCUAAGAGGGGAAAUUGAGUUGUUGAUCUAUGGAUUCCCCAGUCCUAUCUAUUCUUAGGUUAAUUUUAGAUAGGUUUAUGGUUUGCAUAUAUUAGAAGCUGGAUUGACCAUUCUGGGAUCCUUGUUUGGAUUGAAGGGAGCUCUACACUUGAAAACU
RNAcentral lists this microRNA precursor (194 nucleotides) under Capsicum annuum. RNAcentral's name for it is "MIR159 microRNA precursor family". It matches the Rfam family "MIR159 microRNA precursor family". The record is from Rfam by way of RNAcentral. Lineage: Eukaryota; Viridiplantae; Streptophyta; Magnoliopsida; Solanales; Solanaceae.